This 255-nucleotide ribosomal RNA is filed under the name Salmonella enterica subsp. enterica serovar Lubbock. Its description in RNAcentral is "partial 23S ribosomal RNA". It matches the Rfam family "Bacterial large subunit ribosomal RNA", at positions 515 to 783 of the family's 2925-position model. The record is from RNAcentral. Lineage: Bacteria; Pseudomonadati; Pseudomonadota; Gammaproteobacteria; Enterobacterales; Enterobacteriaceae.
AGGAUACGGUUAACGGAGCGAAAGCGACGUUCAACCUCAAAAGAAGCAGAGGGGGCUUAGUGGUGGGGUGACUGCGUACCUUUUGUAUAAUGGGUCAGCGACUUAUAUUCUGUAGCAAGGUUAACCGCAUAGGGGAGCCGGAGGGAAACCGAGUCUUAAUUGGGCGUUAAGUUGCAGGGUAUAGACCCGAAACCCGGUGAUCUAGCCAUGGGCAGGUUGAAGGUUGGGUAACACUAACUGGAGGACCGCACCGAC